ACGCUCGACACCUACUGGAGGCAGCAGUGGGGAAUAUUGCACAAUGGGGGAAACCCUGAUGCAGCGACGCCGCGUGAGCGAAGAAGUAUUUCGGUAUGUAAAGCUCUAUCAGCAGGGAAGAAGAAAGACGGUACCUGACUAAGAAGCCCCGGCUAACUACGUGCUAGCAGCCGCGGUAAUCUGAGCGGGCUGGCAAGGC
This 199-nucleotide ribosomal RNA is filed under the name uncultured bacterium. RNAcentral describes it as "partial 16S ribosomal RNA". It matches the Rfam family "Bacterial small subunit ribosomal RNA", at positions 328 to 539 of the family's 1533-position model. The record is from RNAcentral.